CUUAGACUUUACUGUAUUACACAUGCACCAUAUCAUUAAAUAAUAAAUCAAUCAUAUUUUUCUAUUUUAAAAAAAUAUAUAAUAAAAAUAUUUUUCUAUUAACUAUGAUGAGACAUAUCAAUUUAAUGGCGUGUUUGGUUCGCACUAUGAAAAAUUACUAAGAGUAAAAAGAUAUUCGAGAAUCUUAUUACUAUUCAUUCUAUUAUAAAAAUAUAAUAUUUUGAUAUUUAGUUCGCACGGUAAUAUUAUUUAGUCAUAUUAUUUAAAAUUACUAAAAAUAUACAAUUAAUUAAAUUAAUUUAAUUUUAAAUAAUUCUAUAAAAAAUUUCAACAUUUUUUAAGAAAAAAAAGAGAUAGAAUAUAUGUUAGAAAAAGAGAGCAUAAUUAAGAAAUAGAAAGAAAAAUAGAGUCCAGAUUAGAGAGAAUGAGAAUGUUGAGAUUUUAGAGAAAGAUGGAGAGAAAUAGCAAUUUAGAGAAAGAAAAAGAGUUAAAGUUUAGAGAGAAAAAGAUAAGUUUAGAGAGAAAUAUGAGGGUAGAGUGUAAAGAAAAAUAAUAUCAACUAACCGGCGGGUAGGAAGAAAAAAAAAAAAUUAGACAUAUUAUAAUUAGUCAAAUUCAUUAAUAUAAGAUACCCACCAUUCCUGAAAUGAAUGAGAUUAAUAUUUUGGGAUGCAUCUUAUUUCCAAGUAAAUCUAGUAUUACCAACUAGAUUACUUAGUACGUUUAGCAAAACACCGUUAUAUUCUUUUUAUUCCUAUUGGAUUACUAUGAAUUUUAAAAAAAUAGCGCGAACCAAACGCAUUCUAAGAAAAAUAAUUUUAUUGGUUAGAUACUCCACGUCAGUAAUAUAAUUGGUAUAUUUUAAAUUUUUUUAACACUU
Molecule: long non-coding RNA, 880 nt
Filed under: Ananas comosus (pineapple)
Lineage: Eukaryota; Viridiplantae; Streptophyta; Magnoliopsida; Poales; Bromeliaceae
Description: long non-coding RNA (ACOM_LNC008095)
Source: RNAcentral